RNAcentral lists this long non-coding RNA (261 nucleotides) under Lathyrus oleraceus (garden pea). Its description in RNAcentral is "Pisum sativum (pea) long non-coding RNA (PSAT_LNC002893)". The record is from RNAcentral. Lineage: Eukaryota; Viridiplantae; Streptophyta; Magnoliopsida; Fabales; Fabaceae.
AUCAACUCUGAAUUCACCACCUUGACCUUGGUUCACUAGAGUCAACUUAUCAACCAAAAGCACAUCGGAUUUCUGACCCUCUCUAAUCUCAUCCAGAAUACCACUCGUUAACUUCAACAUUCCCAAUUUAACACUAUUGUGAGUACUCUCACACACCAAAUUCAAGUCUCUAAACUGCUCAAUUAAAUCCAAUUCUUUAACCAUUAACAUAGACAUAUGCAAUGAUUUCCGACUCAAUGCAUCAGCCACUACGUUUGCUUU